RNAcentral lists this transfer RNA (73 nucleotides) under Lacipirellula parvula. It matches the Rfam family "tRNA". From Rfam's summary of the family: Transfer RNA (tRNA) molecules are approximately 80 nucleotides in length. Their secondary structure includes four short double-helical elements and three loops (D, anti-codon, and T loops). Further hydrogen bonds mediate the characteristic L-shaped molecular structure. tRNAs have two regions of fundamental functional importance: the anti-codon, which is responsible for specific mRNA codon recognition, and the 3' end, to which the tRNAs corresponding amino acid is attached (by aminoacyl-tRNA synthetases). tRNAs cope with the degeneracy of the genetic code in two manners: having more than one tRNA (with a specific anti-codon) for a particular amino acid; and 'wobble' base-pairing, i.e. permitting non-standard base-pairing at the 3rd anti-codon position. The record is from Rfam by way of RNAcentral. Lineage: Bacteria; Pseudomonadati; Planctomycetota; Planctomycetia; Pirellulales; Lacipirellulaceae.
UCCCCUGUAGCUCAGUUGGUAGAGCAAGCGACUGUUAAUCGCUUUGUCCGAGGUUCGAGUCCUCGCGGGGGAG